Non-coding RNA from Stegodyphus mimosarum, 45 nucleotides. Lineage: Eukaryota; Metazoa; Arthropoda; Arachnida; Araneae; Eresidae. The record is from Rfam.
AAAACAGCCCUUUUAAGGGCCACUCCUACUUUAUAAAAUUAGAAG